GAGUUUGAUCAUGGCUCAGAUUGAACGCUGGCGGCAGGCCUAACACAUGCAAGUCGAGCGGUAGCACAGAGAGCUUGCUCUCGGGUGACGAGCGGCGGACGGGUGAGUAAUGUCUGGGAAACUGCCUGAUGGAGGGGGAUAACUACUGGAAACGGUAGCUAAUACCGCAUAACGUCGCAAGACCAAAGUGGGGGACCUUCGGGCCUCAUGCCAUCAGAUGUGCCCAGAUGGGAUUAGCUAGUAGGUGGGGUAACGGCUCACCUAGGCGACGAUCCCUAGCUGGUCUGAGAGGAUGACCAGCCACACUGGAACUGAGACACGGUCCAGACUCCUACGGGAGGCAGCAGUGGGGAAUAUUGCACAAUGGGCGCAAGCCUGAUGCAGCCAUGCCGCGUGUGUGAAGAAGGCCUUCGGGUUGUAAAGCACUUUCAGCGGGGAGGAAGGCGUUAAGGUUAAUAACCUUGGCGAUUGACGUUACCCGCAGAAGAAGCACCGGCUAACUCCGUGCCAGCAGCCGCGGUAAUACGGAGGGUGCAAGCGUUAAUCGGAAUUACUGGGCGUAAAGCGCACGCAGGCGGUCUGUCAAGUCGGAUGUGAAAUCCCCGGGCUCAACCUGGGAACUGCAUUCGAAACUGGCAGGCUAGAGUCUUGUAGAGGGGGGUAGAAUUCCAGGUGUAGCGGUGAAAUGCGUAGAGAUCUGGAGGAAUACCGGUGGCGAAGGCGGCCCCCUGGACAAAGACUGACGCUCAGGUGCGAAAGCGUGGGGAGCAAACAGGAUUAGAUACCCUGGUAGUCCACGCCGUAAACGAUGUCGAUUUGGAGGUUGUGCCCUUGAGGCGUGGCUUCCGGAGCUAACGCGUUAAAUCGACCGCCUGGGGAGUACGGCCGCAAGGUUAAAACUCAAAUGAAUUGACGGGGGCCCGCACAAGCGGUGGAGCAUGUGGUUUAAUUCGAUGCAACGCGAAGAACCUUACCUGGUCUUGACAUCCACAGAACUUUCCAGAGAUGGAUUGGUGCCUUCGGGAACUGUGAGACAGGUGCUGCAUGGCUGUCGUCAGCUCGUGUUGUGAAAUGUUGGGUUAAGUCCCGCAACGAGCGCAACCCUUAUCCUUUGUUGCCAGCGGUUCGGCCGGGAACUCAAAGGAGACUGCCAGUGAUAAACUGGAGGAAGGUGGGGAUGACGUCAAGUCAUCAUGGCCCUUACGACCAGGGCUACACACGUGCUACAAUGGCAUAUACAAAGAGAAGCGACCUCGCGAGAGCAAGCGGACCUCAUAAAGUAUGUCGUAGUCCGGAUUGGAGUCUGCAACUCGACUCCAUGAAGUCGGAAUCGCUAGUAAUCGUAGAUCAGAAUGCUACGGUGAAUACGUUCCCGGGCCUUGUACACACCGCCCGUCACACCAUGGGAGUGGGUUGCAAAAGAAGUAGGUAGCUUAACCUUCGGGAGGGCGCUUACCACUUUGUGAUUCAUGACUGGGGUGAAGUCGUAACAAGGUAACCGUAGGGGAACCUGCGGUUGGAUCACC
This 1526-nucleotide ribosomal RNA is filed under the name Klebsiella pneumoniae. Its description in RNAcentral is "bacterial SSU rRNA". It matches the Rfam family "Bacterial small subunit ribosomal RNA". RNAcentral also lists the same sequence under 1 other name. Lineage: Bacteria; Pseudomonadati; Pseudomonadota; Gammaproteobacteria; Enterobacterales; Enterobacteriaceae. The record is from RNAcentral.